This 532-nucleotide ribosomal RNA is filed under the name uncultured Agaricomycetes. RNAcentral's name for it is "eukaryotic LSU rRNA". It matches the Rfam family "Eukaryotic large subunit ribosomal RNA", at positions 1 to 530 of the family's 3401-position model. The record is from RNAcentral. Lineage: Eukaryota; Fungi; Basidiomycota; Agaricomycetes.
GACCUCGAAUCAGGUAGGACUACCCGCUGAACUUAAGCAUAUCAAUAAGCGGAGGAAAAGAAACUAACAAGGAUUCCCCUAGUAACUGCGAGUGAAGCGGGAAGAGCUCAAAUUUGAAAUCUGGCGGUUCUGCCGCCCGAGUUGUAAUCUGGAGAAGCGUUUUCCGUGCCGGACCGUGUACAAGUCCCUUGGAACAGGGCGUCAUAGAGGGUGAGAAUCCCGUCUUUGACACGGACUCCCGGUGCUCUGCGAUGCGCUCUCGAAGAGUCGAGUUGUUUGGGAAUGCAGCUCACAAUGGGUGGUAAAUUCCAUCUAAAGCUAAAUAUUGGCGAGAGACCGAUAGCGAACAAGUACCGUGAGGGAAAGAUGAAAAGCACUUUGGAAAGAGAGUAAACAGUACGUGGAAUUUGUUUGAAAGGGAAACGCUUGGAAGUCAGUCGCGUCUUUUGNGGACUCANCCCUUGCUUNUGCUCGGUGCACUUUCCAAUUUGANGGGUCAGCAUCGGGCUCUGGGGGGUGGACAAAGGCGUGG